Zingiber officinale is the source of this 704-nucleotide long non-coding RNA. RefSeq lists it as uncharacterized. The transcript has 2 exons. The record is from RefSeq and is a predicted model, not a curated record. Lineage: Eukaryota; Viridiplantae; Streptophyta; Magnoliopsida; Zingiberales; Zingiberaceae.
GCCUGCUACGUACAGAAUCUCUCUCUAACCUCCACUCAACUCCCCUCUCUUCUCUCCCUGGACAGGAGAUCACCGACGGCGAUUGCCUCCUCUUCACAAUUUUCUCCUAGCACCUAUUCAUUCGGAUUCUAAGCUACGGCACAGCCCAGUACCGCACCGACUGCAACCUGAUGAGCAUACAAAGGAGAAAUAUUAUGAAAAGAAGCUAAGUGAACAUAUUUUCCAUGAAGAAGCAUAGAAUCCAUAUGUGAAAUAUUCUUGGGUAACAAGGUGGAGUCUAUGUGUAGAAUAAGAUGAACUAGGUGUUUGUAUGUCCGAUCAAACCUGAAGAGGAGUAUGGCCAAGAAGUUCGUGCAGUGGUCUGUAGUCAUAGAGUGGAUGCUCUUCUGGAAGUUCAUAUAGAAGCUGAUUUAACACCUGAAAUGGGCAAGAAAGAAUAAUUCUAUUGAUCACAUGAGAUGAACCUAGCCAACCAAGAUGCAUGCUUACAAUAUCAAGUCCUGUAACUGUUUAUCAAGGUAUCAUGUAAUACCUUGGCCCUUAGUAUGUUGUAAUGAAAUCUGCAUAUUUACUUGGCCUUCGAAAAGAAUGUUAGAUAUCGAGAAUUCGAUAAGAAUGACACUUUUUUGUAUUAGCACAAUAUCUCACUGUAAAAAAGUAACUGCAGAGAAUCACAACAUGGGCAUUCUUUCUUUUUCUAUGUA